This 256-nucleotide long non-coding RNA is filed under the name Malus domestica (apple). RNAcentral describes it as "long non-coding RNA (MDOM_LNC012588)". Lineage: Eukaryota; Viridiplantae; Streptophyta; Magnoliopsida; Rosales; Rosaceae. The record is from RNAcentral.
UAAAUGCAUCUCAUAUGACAUAUACAACUCAUAGGCAACAUGUACGACAAUGUCGGAGUUGCCUAAAACAUAAUAUAGUCAUGCCAUCACUCGAUCAUUUCAACUAAUACUAUAAACUCACCUGAACUUACCUGGGUGUCCUGCGUUAGCCUUUGCACUUCAAAGCGUUUACAAUAAUUAUGUGCAGGUAAUAUACAUAUAGAUAAACCAUGAUACAAUCUAAUACUCAACCAUGUUAUAACAUUUUUCCAAUAUA